This 494-nucleotide ribosomal RNA is filed under the name uncultured bacterium. Its description in RNAcentral is "partial 16S ribosomal RNA". It matches the Rfam family "Bacterial small subunit ribosomal RNA", at positions 28 to 507 of the family's 1533-position model. The record is from RNAcentral.
GACGAACGCUGGCGGCGCGCUUAACACAUGCAAGUCGAACGGAAAGGCCUGCUUUCCCUUGUGGAUUGCGGGUACUCGAGUGGCGAACGGGUGAGUAACACGUGAGUGAUCUGCCCCCAACUUGGGUAUAAGCCUGGGAAACUGGGUCUAAUUCCCGAUAGGACUGCAGGGUGGUGCCUGUGGUGGAAAACGAUUUUCUAGUGGUUGGGGAUGAGCUCGCGGCCUAUCAGCUUGUUGGUGGGGUAAUGGCCUACCAAGGCGGCGACGGGUAGCCGGCCUGAGAUGGUGGACGGCCAAAUUGGGACUGAGAUACGGCCCAGACUCCGAGGGGAGGCAGCAGUGGGGAAUAUUGCACAAUGGGCGGAAGCCUGAUGCAGCGACGCCGCGUGGGGGAUGACGGCCUUCGGGUGGUAAACUCCUUUCGACCGCGAGGAAGCCACCUGGUUGGAAGGGUGGUGACGGUAGUGGUAGAAGAAGCACCGGCUAACUACGUG